RNAcentral lists this unclassified non-coding RNA (214 nucleotides) under uncultured Russula. RNAcentral's name for it is "sequence contains ITS2". Lineage: Eukaryota; Fungi; Basidiomycota; Agaricomycetes; Russulales; Russulaceae. The record is from RNAcentral.
AUAUCCUUCAACCUUUCUUGGUUUCUCAACCAAGGAAGGCUUGGACUUUGGGGGUUAUUGCUGGCCUCAGUCGAAGCCAGCUCCUCCUAAAUGGAUUAGUGGGGUCUACUUUGCCGAUCCUUGAUGUGAUAAGAUGUUUUCUACGUCUUGGGUUUCGCACUGUUGCUUUGGACUCUGCUUCUAACCGUCUUACAUUCAAGACAGAGAUUACGAA